Molecule: ribosomal RNA, 664 nt
Filed under: uncultured bacterium
Lineage: Bacteria
Description: bacterial SSU rRNA
Rfam family: Bacterial small subunit ribosomal RNA
Source: RNAcentral
CAUGCAAGUCGAACGGCAGCACGGGGGCAACCCUGGUGGCGAGUGGCGAACGGGUGAGUAACGCAUCGGAACGUGCCCAGUAGUGGGGGAUAACACAUCGAAAGAUGUGCUAAUACCGCAUACGCACUACGGUGGAAAGCGGGGGAUCGCAAGACCUCGCGCUAUUGGAGCGGCCGAUGUCCGAUUAGCUAGUUGGUGGGGUAAUGGCCCACCAAGGCUACGAUCGGUAGCUGGUCUGAGAGGAUGAUCAGCCACACUGGGACUGAGACACGGCCCAGACUCCUACGGGAGGCAGCAGUGGGGAAUUUUGGACAAUGGGCGCAAGCCUGAUCCAGCCAUGCCGCGUGAGUGAAGAAGGCCUUCGGGUUGUAAAGCUCUUUCGGCCGGAACGAAAUCGUCCGGGCUAAUACCCCGGAUGGAUGACGGUACCGGAAGAAGAAGCACCGGCUAACUACGUGCCAGCAGCCGCGGUAAUACGUAGGGUGCAGGCGUUAAUCGGAAUUACUGGGCGUAAAGCGUGCGCAGGCGGCUACUCAAGUCAGAUGUGAAAUCCCCGGGCUUAACCUGGGAACUGCGUUUGAAACUGGGUGGCUGGAGUGCGGCAGAGGGGGUGGAAUUCCACGUGUAGCAGUGAAAUGCGUAGAUAUGUGGAGGAACACCGAUG